This is a non-coding RNA of Nothobranchius furzeri (turquoise killifish), 572 nucleotides long. NCBI's taxonomy places the organism in Eukaryota, Metazoa, Chordata, Actinopteri, Cyprinodontiformes, Nothobranchiidae. The record is from the annotation of a RefSeq genome assembly.
UCUGACCAAAUCAGUGACAAACUCACUGUAGACUGAUCAGAGACAAAUGGCUGCUGCAACGAUCAGACCUGAGCUUGGGAUUGUUUUACUCAUCCUGUCUGUUUACUGGACUGGUACUGAGGGUCAGACACUGACUGAGUCUGAACCAGUGGUUAAAAGACCUGGAGAACCCCACAGACUCACCUGUACUGGUUCUGGUUUCACAUUCAGCAGCUAUGGAAUGGCCUGGAUCAGACAGGCAGCUGGAAAAGGACUGGAGUGGAUUGCUAUUAUCUACAGCAGUGGUAGCGUCUUCUACUCUCAGUCAGUCCAAGGCCGGUUCUCCAUCUCCAGAGAGAACAGCAGAAAUCAGGUGUAUCUGCAGAUGAACACUCUGACCUCUGAGGAUUCUGCUGUUUAUUAUUGUGCUCGAGAGCCACAGUGACACAGAAAAGCAGAAACGCUGAACAAAUUCUCCUCAGUGGUUUUUACAUGAAGCCACCACAGGAGGCGCCAUCACACCGCUGGAACAACACAGUAACAACUGAGGUAAACACAAGGAACCAAACGUUAAUGUUGUUAAAGAACUAAAA